UGCAGUCGACGGCAGCGCGGGGCAACCUGGCGGCGAGUGGCGAACGGGUGAUUAAUAUAUCGGAACGUACCCAAGAGUGGGGGAUAACGCAGCGAAAGUUGCGCUAAUACCGCAUACGAUCUAAGGAUGAAAGCAGGGGACCGCAAGGCCUUGUGCUCCUGGAGCGGCCGAUAUCUGAUUAGCUAGUUGGUAGGGUAAAGGCCUACCAAGGCUACGAUCAGUAGCUGGUCUGAGAGGACGACCAGCCACACUGGAACUGAGACACGGUCCAGACUCCUACGGGAGGCAGCAGUGGGGAAUUUUGGACAAUGGGCGCAAGCCUGAUCCAGCAAUGCCGCGUGAGUGAAGAAGGCCUUCGGGUUGUAAAGCUCUUUUGUCAGGGAAGAAACGGUGGGAGCUAAUAUCCCUCACUAAUGACGGUACCUGAAGAAUAAGCACCGGCUAACUACGUGCCAGCAGCCGCGGUAAUACGUAGGGUGCAAGCGUUAAUCGGAAUUACUGGGCGUAAAGCGUGCGCAGGCGGUUUUGUAAGUCUGACGUGAAAUCCCCGGGCUCAACCUGGGAAUUGCGUUGGAGACUGCAAGGCUAGAAUCUGGCAGAGGGGGGUAGAAUUCCACGUGUAGCAGUGAAAUGCGUAGAGAUGUGGAGGAACACCGAUGGCGAAGGCAGCCCCCUGGGUCAAGAUUGACGCUCAUGCACGAAAGCGUGGGGAGCAAACAGGAUUAGAUACCCUGGUAGAAUCACUAGUGAAUUC
Molecule: ribosomal RNA, 754 nt
Filed under: uncultured bacterium
Lineage: Bacteria
Description: bacterial SSU rRNA
Rfam family: Bacterial small subunit ribosomal RNA
Source: RNAcentral